This 528-nucleotide ribosomal RNA is filed under the name uncultured bacterium. RNAcentral describes it as "bacterial SSU rRNA". It matches the Rfam family "Bacterial small subunit ribosomal RNA", at positions 791 to 1318 of the family's 1533-position model. The record is from RNAcentral.
UAGUCCACGCCGUAAACGAUGGAUACUAGGUGUUCGGAGUAGUUAACCCUCUGAGUACCGUAGCACACGCAUUAAGUAUCCCGCCUGGGGAGUACGGUCGCAAGGCUAAAACUCAAAGGAAUUGACGGGGGCCCGCACAAGCGGUGGAGUAUGUGGUUUAAUUCGACGCAACGCGAAGAACCUUACCUGGACUUAACAUUCAAUGAUCGCUUAAGAGAUUAAGUUUUCCUUUCGGGGACAUUGGGAUAGAUGCUGCAUGGCUGUCGUCAGCUCGUGUCGUAAGAUGUUGGGUUAAGUCCCGCAACGAGCGCAACCCUUGCCCUUAGUUGCCAGCAUUAAGUUGGGCACUCUAGGGGAACUGCCGGUGUCAAACCGGAGGAAGGAGAGGAUGACGUCAAGUCCUCAUGGCUCUUACGUCCAGGGCUACACACGUACUACAAUGGCAGAAACAGCCCGUUGCGAAGCCGCGAGGUGGAGCUAAUCGGUAAAACACUGUCUCAGUUCGGAUUGAAGUCUGCAACUCGACUU